Molecule: long non-coding RNA, 33843 nt
Filed under: Brassica napus (rape)
Lineage: Eukaryota; Viridiplantae; Streptophyta; Magnoliopsida; Brassicales; Brassicaceae
Description: long non-coding RNA (BNAP_LNC021504)
Source: RNAcentral
AAAGAUGGUGUCUCAACUGAUAGUGCAAAGACAGAAGCUAUGCGUCAAUGGCCUACUCCUAAGAAUGUUAAGCAGCUGCGAGGGUUCUUAGUUUUAACAGGUUACUACAGGCGUUUUGUCUGGCAUUAUGGGUUAAUUGCUAAGUCCUUACAAAUUUGCUGAAGAAAGAGCAAUUCUUAUGGACUUCUGCUACUCAGCUGGCUUUUGAGGAAUUAAAAAAGGCUAUGUGUACUGCUCCAGUAUUAGCUUUACCAGAUUUUUCGAAGAAGUUUAUUGUGGAAACAUAUGCUUCUGGCGUGGGUUUGGGUGCUGUUCUGAUGCAGGAGAAGAAGCCAAUUGCAUUCUUUAGUUAUGCUCUUACUGAUCGAGAACAGUUAAAGCCUGCGUAUGAGAGGGAAUUAAUGGCGGUGGUGUUGGCAGUCAAGAAGUGGAGACAUUAUCUGGUUGGAAGAAAGUUUGAGGUGCAUACGGAUCAGCGGAGUUUAAAAUUUUUGUUGGAACAGAAGGAGGUCAAUAUGGAGUAUCAACGGUGGUUGGUUCAUCUUUUGGGAUUUGACUUUGAGAUAUUUUACAAGCCGGGGUGUGAGAAUAAGGCUGCGGAUGGGCUUUCUCGGAGCAUGUGUUGCUUGGACGUUUCUGCGAGUACUUUGUUGCUCUCUUUGACAACUCCUACAACUUUACAGCUCCAGGAUUUGUAUAAAGAAAUUGAUGCUGAUCCAGAGUUACAAAGUAUGAUCAAAAGGGUCUUCGAUCGUUCUUUGAUCAACAAUAACUAUCAAGUGAUUGAGGGUCGUCUUUGGUACAAGAGGAGGCUGAUGAUACCUAAGACAUCGACUUUCAUUCCGUUACUAUUGCAUGAGGCGCAUGAUAGUUUGGGUGGUGGUCAUUCUGGAAUUCUGAAGACUCUUAAACGAGUGCAACGUUCAUUCUAUUGGGAAGGAAUAACACGGUCAGUGCAGCGUUAUGUGCAAGAGUGUGUUGUUUGCUAGACACAUAAGUCAUCAACACUGUCUCCUGCUGGUCUUCUUCAACCUCUUCCCUUACCAAUACGUGUGUGGGAUGAGAUUGCAAUGGAUUUUAUUGAGGGCUUGCCUACUUCACAGGGGGUGAAUGUGGUGCUCGUGGUGAUUGAUAGGCUAAGCAAAUAUGCUCAUUUUCUUAGUCUUCGUCAUCCUUUCACUACGGUGGAAGUGGCAAACUGCUUUGUGGAGGGUAUUGUUCGACUGCACGGGUUCCCUAGUAGCAUUGUGUCGGAUAGGGAUCGCAUUUUCCUGAGUUCGUUUUGGAAGGAGGCUUUCCGUUUGGCAGGUACGCAGCUCAAGUACAGUACGGCUUUCCAUCCUCAAACUGAUGGUCAGUCUGAAGUGUUGAACAGCUGUCUCGAAACUUAUAUGCGCUGCUUCGCAUCUGCGCAUCCUCGAACGUGGCGUAAGUUUCUACCUUGGGCGGAGUUCUGGUACAACACGUCAUUUCACACUUCGUUAAAGACUACACCGUUUCAAGUGGUUUAUGGUCGGGAACCUCCGGUAGUGGUCAAGUUUGAGGAGGGGUCUACGAGUAACUUUGAUUUGGAAACGUCUUUGCGUGAACGUGACAGAGUGUUGGCUCUCAUCAAACAUAAUUUGGUGCGCGCUCAAGAUAUGAUGAAGAAGACAGCUGAUAAGCAUAGAAGGGAUGUUUCAUUUGAUGUGGGAACGCUGGUUUAUUUGAAGCUCAGGCCGUAUAGGCAACAGUCUGUUUCUCACCGUGUGUGUCAAAAGCUGGCUGCUAAGUACUUCGGUCCUUACCGUGUGAUUGCUCGUGUGGGGAAAGCAGCAUACAAGUUGGAUCUACCCUCAGCUUCUCGUAUACAUCCCGUUUUCCAUUGUUCUCAAUUGAAAGCGGCGUUGGGAGUGGAUCGUGUAGUUCAUCCCUUACCAGAGAAUUGUAUUGAUGAGGUAGAAGCUGUUCUAGAACCAUUGGAAGUCUUGGCUAAGCGUUAUGACGAUGAGGGUUAUUUGGAGCUGCUGGUUAGCUGGGUGGGUAAGCCGUCUCAUGAGAAUUCGUGGGUUUCGUUUCGUUCGUUUGUCGAGGAUUAUCCAGCUUUCAAGCUUGAGGACAAGCUUGGUUUCAAAGGGAGAUGUAUUGAUAAGUACCAACGUUCUUAUGUGAGGCGGGAAAAGAAGAUUAUGAAUAAGGAGUUGGAUGACGUGGCCGAUCCGAGUGAUGCAUUCUUAUUGGAGGAAAUGGGUGAGCUGGCAAGAAAGGAGAAGACUCUGAAGGAAGCGGAGGGUUAGCGGUUAGAGUCUCCUCAGCUCGAGAUGGAGUAUUAAUAAAAGAAAAGAGUCGUUGUAGUUUCUUUAUGCUUUGUAUGUUGAGAGAAGACGAUAUGAGUCUCUUAAUGAUCGCUAUGAGAUCGUAGGUGUUGAUCUAUAUCGCCAUGAGAUAGAAAUCACAUCUGAACUUUACAAAGCUAUUUCCAUUUCAAUACAAGAGUAUUUCAGUUUACAAAUCUUUCAUCUACUUUACUCUAUCAGUGCUGAUUGAGAGUGAGCGACGGCGGUGAUGCAAGAAAGAGAGAGAUCGUGAUCUCCCUUGCUCUGACUCGGAUCUCUACGGCGGUGGCUUACGUUGCCUACGGUAACAAAGACGAGGCUCUCCGGUGACUUGCGAAUCAUCGCGGUGCAAAUCUGUGAACGGAACGCGACGGUUCCGUUUUCACUUUCUCAUCUCGUCUUGGUCACGUUCGCACAACACAAAUCACAAAAACGAUGGCUUCUUUAUCAGGUAUUAUCACUUCAAACUACUGUAUUUUGUUCUACUCUGAAUAUAAAAUGAAGACCGAGUUAUAUUAAUGCUCUUUUUGGGCUUUUAUCCUUUGUUUGUUUGUUCAGUGUCACUAUAGCUACAGCGCGUGCGGACUAGGAUCAAACGGAACAGACAGGCUGGUGCAGUUAGUACAAGGGAUGCAGCAUAACAAUUCUAAAAGCGAGGAUGGAACUUUGUAUGGAGCCAAAAUCACAGGUGGUGGCUCCGGUUAUUGGCCGUAACUCAUUGCGCAGCAGCCAACAAAUACACUUGUAUAUCAUUGAUGUGGUCAACAUUUAUGUAUAUUAUUUUAUGUCCUUUUACAUAUUAUUAUUAUGUAUAUUGGAUGAUUUAAGAUUCAGCAGAGAUACAAAGCAGCAACCGGGUAUUUGCCACUCAUUUUCGAAGGUUCAUCACCUGGAGCUGGCAUGUUUGGUUACCAGCGGAUCCGACGUCGUAUCUCGCUCUAAUACCCAUUGAGACCUUCUCUACUUUUGGUAUAAACUUAUUAUUUUUAUUUAUUCUUCGUACGAUAAAUACUUUGGAGUUGCUUCUCACAAAUAAAGUAGAUCGUUCUUAUCCACUUUUCAAAAUAAUAUUGACGACGACGAUGAUGAUGAUAAAAAAGCUUGUGUAUACUACUACAACGUUAUUUUGAAACAAAAUUAUCUUAUGCAAAAGAAAAGAAUAACACUUCACUUACUGUCUUUUAUGUUAAAUUAAAACGUGUUCACAUUCAUUGUGUUUGUCAUACUCAUGUUACUUUAAAAAAAAGAAUUGUGUGAAAACACUUUUAAAAUAGUCACAAAAAUAGGAAGUGAAAAUGGAAGUGGUGGUAAAAAAGUAAAGAGGAGAGGGCUUUGGUCAGACAAUGGGUGAGGUUCGUGGUUACGAGUAGGUGGGUAUCAUUCAUGAUAGAUCACACUAGCUCAGUACCCGAGGAUCUUUUUAUAUUACUGCUCAUGUGUGCCUUUAAUUGCUUUUACAUACUUUCUAUCUUUGCCUUUUUAAAAUGAUGCCAAUCGUGUUUUUAUCAUAUUAUAGGAGAUGCAUGACUGUAAAAAAUAAAUCGUUUAAGCUUCACAUCUGACCAAUUAUAUUAAUGUACGCAGUAGAUCAAUCAAUGAAGUGAGAAGGGAAAGAAAUCGUAAUUGCGUUUUUUUACACACACAUAAAGAGCAGAGAUCCGAACAAUAUGAGAGAAGGCACUUGUGCUGAUAAACGAGCCGACAUGCACGUGCUCACUUCCAUUCUUACGCGUUUCUCAUCGGAUCCUAUGAGCUUCUUCCAAUCCAACCGUAUUCCUUCUUCCACGUGUCUUUUCUACAUUCAACCUUGUUCAUCAUCAUCAUAUGAAAACGCAAGAUGGAGUUGAAUUAGAUAUCACAUGACACAGGCAGUAAAUAAAAUACUACUGCUGCACGUAACAAUUUUUAUUAAUUUCUUAUUUGCUAGUCACGUGAACAAAAAGUGGAAAUAGUGAUACGUAUAUAAAUAUGAAGCUUCUUUAACCAUAUAAAGAUAUUUAUAAAGUUUAACCUACACAAAUGUUAAAAAAAAAAAAACAUUUUACAAAAAAAAAGUUUAUAAUAAAUUGGUGAGAAAUAAAAGGAAGUAUUGGAUACAGUCUACACGUUCUUCUGCUUCACUCUAAUACUUGUGCGCCCUUCUCUUCUUUGUCUUCUUCCUCAAAUUUGCUUCGUUCACUUUCAGAUUCUCUCACCAGACACGAACUCCAGAUUCAUCCCGACAAUGGAAACAUUCCAUCUCCUCCUUUUUCUUUCCCACUUUCUCUUCUUCACGACGUACACCACGCUUACCUCAGCAAAAUCUCAGAUCGUUGACUGUACAAUGUGCACUUCUUGUGACAACCCUUGUCAGCCGAACCUCUCUCCUCCGCCUCCGACUCCAUCUCCUCCGCCUCCAGCCACCACCACCACCACUGCUUGUCCUCCGCCUCCUAGAUCCGGCGGUAGUGGUGGUGGUCCUUACUACUACUACCCACCUCCUUCUCAGUCUGGCUCUUACCGUCCACCACCAUCUUCUUCCGGCGAUGGUGGCUACUAUUAUCCGCCGCCGAAAAGUGGAGGGAACUACAACCCCUAUACGCCGCCGCCAAACCCAAUCGUUCCGUACUUUCCGUUUUACUACCACAGCCCUCCCGAGCAAUCUAUUGUGUCGGCCGGAUCUGAUGUGAAAGUCAAACUCUCUUACGCGUUUUCUUUGGUUAUAAUUUUUGCUCUUUACUUAUAAGACAGAUAAUUGUAACAUCAAGACACCCUCAGAUCUUUGUAAGGAAGAACACUAUGCAUGAGAGAUCUUUUAUUAUUCCUUCUGCUUUUUUUUUCCACUACUUUUUGCUUGCACAAGUAGCAAAUUUAUAUGUGCUUCUAUCAUUUUUAACAAUUUUAUGAAUGUAGCCUUUUUUAAUUCAUUCCAGUCGAAACUAUAGUUGAAAGGAAGCAAUAAAAGUCUUGUUUUGCUACCUCGAAUAUUAAUUACGGACAACAUAACGUAGUUACUGUUGGUUGAUACUGUAUAUGGUCAAUGGCUAAUGCUUCAGACCAUUGCCUAGUGCUACAUCAUCAAAACAUCGUCACUGCCAGAACUGGACAUUAUUACUCGUUACUUUAUUCGUAUCCACCUUGACAAUUCAAUUACUGGCAUUGUCAAACCAAAUGAUAAAUUAACAAAUUUCGUUAUCAAUUAUUAUUAUAUUUUUCCAUUACUUGUUACAUGCUCUAUUAAAUAAUAUGUCUAAUAUGUCUUUUCUUUUGUUUGCAUUUAGGGAUGGACACAAUUUUUUUUUUUUUUAUAAACAGGAGGUUCAACGGCGACCCGUAAUCCGCAAGUGGUUUUCGAUUGCCCGAAGACCCGUAAUCCGCACUUGGUUUCCGAUUGCCAACCGCCUAAUCCCCCUGGCCUGAAACCAGUCGGCACUAAUACCCAUUUACCCAAGGACCCGGCACCAACACCGCGAUAACUUUAAAUUUGGGGAGGGCGUAAAGCAUUCCGUGGCCACAAGGGGUAUUCGAACUCGGGUCCGUAUUGGCGAUAGUAACUACCUCAAGACCACUAGCCCACCACCCCAUGGUUAACAACGGGGUGGUGGGCUAGUGGUCUUGAGGUAGUUACUAUCGCCAAUACGGAUCCGAGUUCGAAUAGCCCCUGUAGCCACGGAAUACCCCAUGUGGACACAAUUACUCACUGCUCGUUUUAUAUUUGUUUCAACGUGAUUUUUUAAGUAUUCGUCGUCAUCAAAUUGAGUAUUAAAUAGUAAAUUUAGAUAGUAAAUUUAGAUACUUGCAAAUAUAAGACAAAUAACAAGUAUUGAAAUUUUUUAUCUAUCUCGCUUGCUACUAGUUGACUUGCCAAGAGAAGACAUUUUUGUUAUCGUAAGAAAUCUACAAUGCUUCCAUAUCAAAAUAUUAUUGUUUUCUUUAUCCUUCUUCUCUAUAAUAUGUGUAAAUAUGCCGUUCAAAAUAAUUUUCAUGUUCUUUUUAGUGGAGUAAACAAAGCUAACUUUCAUGUCCAUUUCAACUAAAGUACCAUUAAUAAGUACUUUUUAAAUAUUUAGAAAUAUUCGUAAAUAAUUCAAAAGUAUUCACAAAUAGCAAAUAAUAAAGUGGGACAAGUAAUUUGCAAGCAAAUCAUUUUUAUCAAGAACUUGAGAUAUCAAAUUCUCAAUUUUAAUAAAUCAAAUAUACAUUUAUUUUUUUAUUACUUGUACAAGAGAAAUCAAGUAUCAAAUACAAUAAAAAUAGCGAGUACUCGCUUUUUAGAGUAAGGAUUGGUAGAGUCUUUAUCUUCACCUUCCCUGGCGGAGGAGUGACUUGCACCCCACACGGCAUGUGUGUUGCAAGUCAGUAUUCUGAUGUAAUUGUAUAGAUAGAUAACUCUUCUCUGUAAAGAAUAGAUUUUAUACUGUUUUCAUAUAUAUUAAAAACACACAUAUUAAGAAAACACAUUAGAUUACUAUUAUAAGUGCAUUAUUUUUAUAACCAUCAAUUUUAAUAAAUUUUAACCAAUAAUAAUUCAAUAAACUCAAUUAUUUUUCUUAAAGUUUUCAAUUUUGUAUAGGAACAUAAAACGUCUAUUUUUAUGAAUUUUUUUUUAAUCUAUCUUAGUGGAACGGAGAAAUUAUUAAUUAGCAUAGUAAAGGAAUUUAUACCAUAUAAAAGUUGAGUAUAUAAGAAGACAUUGAAAAUGUCCAUAUAAGAUUUAAAAUUCCUUAUCAUAAUAGAAAUUCAUACAAAAUAAGGUAAAUUAACAAAAACAUUAAAAAUUAACUUGAUAUAGAUACUUAUUUUUUUUUUAAAUUAACAUAAAUUUAAUGAAAGACUGUUUUCAAUAUGUCAAAACUUUCAAAAUAUUUUAAUAAUUAAAAACUAAAUUUAAGUUUCUAUCAACCAAUAUUUUAAUGAACUAAAGAAGAAAAUCCUUUAACUAACGUAAAGGUAGCUUUAAUGAACUAAAAUUAGUAUACAUAUAGUUACAUAACUAAGAUAACAUAAGUUGAGGUAUUUUUAAUAACAAAAUACAACAAUAUUUCAGUUUAAAUGAUAUUUUUCUUAAUAUUUUUGUUUAAUUAUUAAUUAUAUUAAUAUCUAUAGUUUUUAUAAAAUUGAAUAAAUGACAAAAAAGUAUUUUACAAAAUAUAAUAGAUUGUAUGCUUUGUUUGAUUGUUCAACUCCAAACCUAUCAAUACUACAUCUUAUUUUCUUUUUUUUUUAUAUUAAAAAUAUAUAAAUAUUAAUCUUAGUAUAUAUAUAUAUAUAUAUGUAUAUAUUUCAACCGAUCUUAAUCUAAGCAAUACCAAAAAGAUAUUAGUCUUAGUAUAAUAACUAACAACAAUUUAGUACAAUAAUUAACAACAUUAAUCUUAGUACAUUUAAAAAAAUAAUUGGGUUUAAUAGAAAUCAAAUCCUACAUUCUAACGUACACAUAAUAAAAAUAACCCAACCAAUCAUGAUAUACGAACCGAUUAAAUAUUCUACAUAAAAUCAAAAGUCUUACUAAAAAUAAAUUAAUAUUAUUUUAAAAUUUAGAUAUUGAUUAAUUGUUAUAAUUUAUUUACUUUUACAAUAAUUAUAUUCGUGCAUGAGCAGAGAAAAAUUACCUAAUAAGAAUAUAAAUGACAUAAAUUUAUAUUCCAUAUAAAAUAAUUUAUACUAACAGACAAAAGGUAUUUAAAAUGAAUCAGUUUGAUCUUUACUGUUUUGGAAAAUUAACCUAAAAUUAAAAAUAAUUGUUUUUAAUAAAAUAAUACAAAAAAUUGAAACUACAUAAUAUUGAAAAUAUCAUAUGAAAUUGCAAUAUCAAUAAAAUAUACCAAAUGAAAAUUUUAAUUUAAUAUUUUUAAAAAUUAAUAUUUCCAUAAAAUGUUUCCUUGAAAAUAAAGUAAAAUUUAAUAAUGUGUAACUCAUUAAAAAGAAUUAACUCGAUAAAUAUAAUAUUUUUGGAAAUUUUACAUUAAAGUGAUUAAUCAGAAAUGUCAUAAUAUAAGUUAAAACUAUAAAUAUAUAUUUGUUACAAGUAAGAAGAGAAGAGAAGAAUUGGUGUAUCUUAUUCCAUGAAUAAUGAAUCUUUUAUAUAAGAUUACAAUAGUUUGAGGACAAAGUCAUUUGGAGAACAAAUAAAGCUUGGAGAACAAAUAUAUCUAAGACUUGCCAUAAUGGCAUAACCAUAAUAUUCAUAACACUUCCCCUUGAUGUCCAUUAUGCGCGUAGAUGUUGCCUCGUUAAAAACAUUACCAGGAAAACCCAAUGGAAAAAGCCAUGGUUAAGGGAUAAUUACAAGUAAGAAGAGAAGAGAAGAAUUGGUGUAUCUUAUUCCAUGAAUAAUAAGUCUUUUAUAUAAGAUUACAAUAGUUUGAGGACAAAGUCAUUUGGAGAACAAAUAAAGCUUGGAGAACAAGUAUAUCUAAGACUUGCAAUAAUGGCAUAACCACAAUAUUCAUAACACUUCCCCUUGAUGUCCAUUAUGCGCGUAGAUGUUGCUUCAUUAAAAACAUUACCAGGAAAACCUAAUGGGAAAAACCAUGGUUAAGGGAAAAAGAGUGCAUCGCGUAAUGAAUUCCCCUCAUGUGUACAUAGAUCGAGAUCUUUGAGACGAUGUAGUCCGAUAAGAUGAACUAACUUCUUGAAAGUAACAGUGGUUAGCGUCUUGGUGAAUAAGUCAGUGAAACUAGGGGUGGGCACUUUACCCGAUAUUAAAAGUGGCACCCGAACCCGAUCCGAAAAACCCGAACCGAAAUCCGAACCGACGUAGCAGAAUAUCCGAACGGGUAUUAAAUUAGGAGAGAUUGGAUAUCCGAACCCGAACGGGUAAUAUCCGAACCCGAAUGAAUAUCCGAAAAUAACCGAACAUAUGUAUAAUUAACCUUAUAUUUCUAGUUUACAUCUCUCAUUUUAUAUAAAAUAUUUAUAUUGAUAUACUACACAUAUUUUAAGCUCAUAUGAUAUACAUACAAUUACGAAGAAAAUUAUUUGCUACUUACUUAAAAUGCAUGUCAAAUUUUUUAUUUCAAAAAUUAACAAAAAGUUACAUCCAAAAUUUAAAAACAAUAACCAAAUUAAUGUCUUUUUAGUUUCAAAAUGUUAUGUCCAAAUCUAUUAACCAUUCAAUCUAUUAAAAAUAAAAAUUAGUUAAGUGAAAGUUAUAUUUUUAAAUACAAGAAAUUUGAAAAAUGAAAAUUUAAUUUUGUUUUUUUCAAAACCUAAAUAUCCAAACCCGAUCCGAAAUAAAUGAAUCUGAACUAAAAAUAUCCGAAACCGACCCGAAGUACAGAAAUACCCGAACGGGUUCUACACCUCUAUACCGAAAUACCCGAUCCGAACCCGAACGGAUACCCGAACGCCCACCCCUAAGUGAAACUGUCACUUGAAGGAACAUGUAGGACACGGAUAUCGCCACUCUUCUGCAGUGAAUGAGUCUUGAUAUGAUCCAUAUUGAAAUUAUAACAUUCACUUUAGAUGUCUGUCAUUUGUGUGUUCUUUGUUGCCUCAUUAAAACCUUUAUAUCUUGGAAAAUCCCAGUGGGAUAAAAACCAUGAUAACGAAAAGAGUACAACCACACAUAGUUUUAUAUCUCUUCCCCAGAAAGCAAUAUAUUCAGGAUAUGCAUUCCGAUCAAAUAUAUCUCUUUAAUUUGGAAAUUGAUCUUAACAGAACAAACUCUUUUGAUUUCUGUUAUAAUAUUUAGGGUCUUUAGACUUCUGGUCCAAAAUCUCUUUGACAUAGACAAUAAUUUCUUGGUCUAUUUGGACUUCAAGCCAAAUUUCUUUACAUACAAUCGUCUAAUCAUUUGUCAUGUACAUACGAUUUAUUCAUUCGUAACUAUAAAGUUACUAUUAUGAUUUUUUUUCUAGCCAUAUGAAAUUACAUCUUUCAAUUAUGAAAGAGAUCAGUAACUUGCUCAAACAACACUCUUAAGUAUGGUACUUCAAGAUCAGUGAGUAACUACACUCUAAAUAUGGUACUUCAAGAUCAAUCAUAUGUGAUCAUCUUAAAAUCUUUAAGGAUCUUCAAGAUCUAGAUGUCCAGUUUGUAAUACAUAACAAUGUAGUCUUUUCAAGAUUUUUCUUCCAAACAAACAAUUUAUUAUAACUCUUAGAGAGUUUGGAUUAUAUUCAAAUCCAUGAUUCUAUGAAUUCAUAAUCUCUUGAUAAAUACAAAUGGAUACAUUAGUUAAUCUUAUAAUAUUUCCAUAAAUUCCCUAAAAUAUUUUGUUUCAAUUCGAUCGAAUCACUAGAGUUCCCGUGAACAUAAUUUUGCUAUCAUCAAUCAUUCAUGGAUUCUAUCUCUCAAAGAUUAUCAUUUUUCAGUGGGUCAUAUAAUUCAAGUUCUUCUUUUAUUGCCAAACUGAUAAAGAACUUGACAGUAGUUGCAUCUACCUCAUGAGAGUGUCUCUUCACAGUCAGUUUCAUAUUGAUUUUUCUUUGGUACAACGACUCAUUUCUGUCCCACUUGUUUUACACCUUUUGGUGUAUGGACUAUUGGUCCAAAUAUUUCUCUCUUUCAUGAGAGUUUAUAUCUUUGUAUAUUGCUUCUUUCUGAUUUGGCCAAUCAUUUUUUUGUGUACACUUUUCAAUAGACUUUCUUUUAUGAUCAUCUUUCUCAUUCAUCAUAUCAACUGCUACUUUGCAUGCAUAAAUAUCCUCGACGUCGAUUUUCUUAUCGGUUCCAUUUUAUUCUAUACAUGACAUAACUUAUUGAGAUCUAUUCAUUUUCUCUGGUACCUGAAUUAUUUCAGUCAUGUUUUAACAUCUCUUCUGGAUAUCAUUCAAAAACUUUGUUUCCUCUUGACCAUUAUUAAUUUAUGAUCCUUUUCAUUUACGAGGAUUUUUAUCUUUGGAAUCAACAUGUCUACCACGCUGCAGGCGUGACUAGCAGUUUGAUAUUGUUCUUGUAAAACAUCAAUUCUUAUUGGAGUAUUUACAGCUGGUAUAUGUGACUUGAUCACUAUUUAUCUAGGUCAGUAAAUGUGUCUGGCAACUGCUUUACUAAGCUAUAUCUUUGAAUUAUCUUUUGGACUUCUAUUUCACAUUCUAUUUAGUCUGAGGAUCGAUUAUAAUUCAUUUCAACUUAUUUUCGUUUCCAUCUGUGUAUUUUCUCCCCUUUAUGUUGGAGAUACUCGUUUUAAUUUGAGCAUUCAUAUCGAGCCUUACUUAUCCUUCGGAGAUGACUCUAGAUACUUAAUUAUCAAUGGAGAUUCAUAUCCAACAGAUAUUCCCAACCUCAUUUGAAACACAUCUUAAUAAGCUUGUGGAGAAACUGGAAUGUAUAUUGCACAUGCAAAACUCUUAGACGAAAAAUUGUUGGUUUCUAACCCAAUACCAAUGAUGAGGAGAACUAGUGGUUACUUGUUGGCUUGAUACGAAUUAUGUUGCUCAAAAUGUUCAAUACUUAUUACGCUGAACAUGUAAUAAUUAUCAAAUACUUAAGACGUGAAUUCACCAAGAUUAUAAAAAUGCAUGGUGGGUGAUCAGUCCACCAACAUCUCAUUUAUUCAUGCCAAUAACUUCAUUUGGCUGGUGAAAACCGUAUUACCAUUUUAUCUAAUGAGCAAGCAACGUAUGUGAAAUCAUUCGCAAGAAUCUUCUGGUUCUUCAAUGAAUAUUCACAUAAAUCUUUAUGUAUCUUUUCGAAUCAUUAUUAAACCAAAAUGGUCUAACUGGUUCGUGCCAAAUGUUUUUGUAAACUUUUGGUUUACUAUGUAUUUAUCUCCACUACACUAAUAUUUAUGUAGUAAAAUCUAUAAGAGAAUGUAGGUACUUCUCUAAAAUACUUUUAGAGCCUUGAGAAAUAUUUUUGAUUUGCAAUGAAUUUAACAUUUCUUUCGCUUAGUAUCUCAACAUAACUUGUUUCAAAAUUCCAUAGAUUUACUUUAAGAAGGAUUUGUCAACCAAUUUGAGUGUAAACAUAAUUUUUUGGAUGUUUCACUUAUUAUAAACUGUGAGAUUCUUUAAUUCUUCCUCUCGAGAUGAUAAUACUACAAAUUUUUUAGUUUCUAAUUAAAUCUCAUUUUAGAAUCAACAACAUACCAUAUUUGGGUUAUGUAUUCUUUCUCAUAUCCUUCAAACUUUUGAGACUUAUAAGAAUAUAAUGCAAUAAGAAUUUUAAAUUGCAUUCUUAUCUAUAAUAAUAUUAUGUACUCUUCUGGAGCAUCAUAUAUGUCAUCUUCUUGAACAUUCAAUAAACUUUAUACUACCUUUUAUUGUACUCACUAGUUUUCUUUCAUCUUUCUCUUCUUUAUUACCAUUUUUAUUUUUUCAACUUCAAGUGGAAUAUAAAUUCUAAAAAGAAACUCUUUGGUUUUGACCUUAACCAUAACCAUAUAUAUAUAUAUAUCCACAUUCACGUCUACAACUACUUUUUGGACUUACCAAUAUUAUUUGUAUGGAUUCUUUCUCAAAAUGUUAAAUUCUCUUCAAGAGAAUGAAUCAUAACCAACUAGACGUGAUUUUUGAUCUUACAUCAAUAGUUCAUUGUUUUUCUGAGUCUCGAAGAGACAAGAUACAAAUAUAAAUUUCUUUAAUCUUUUUUUUCAUCCAUGUGUAUGUUGGACAACAUUACGUGUGAAAACUGUAUUUUUCACUAUAUUUGCAUCAUUAAAAUUUCUUUGAGAAAUUUUACUUUAUCCAACAUAGUUAAGAUUUAUCUACAGACUUCAUGUCUUGUAAUAUUUAGAUGCAAAAUACAUAAUAAACUUUAGGUAAUCGCACUCUAGUGAUUAUACCUUUCUUUGGAUUGUUUUCCAAAACUUGUGGAUUUUUUAAGAUCAAGCUUUAAGCUUAAAACUAUCAUAUAUGUAAUGGUAAUGAAAUAGAACCCUCGUACUAACUUUUAUGCAAAUUAUUUUAUAUACUUAUGUAUAUAAAACAUAGAUAAAUACUUAUCUUAUAAAGAGAAAAGCACCAGCGAUGAGUGUUACAACUCUUCAUGUUUCUCGACAUCUUACAUGGUUUCUUUCUCUUUUACAAAGAAUAAAUAUUCCUGAAAUACUUAAAUUUGCUCAUAUAAAAUGACUAUUGAUAUGUUAGUAAACAUCAGUAUUUAAUAUCAAAAUUAAAUCCGUAGCAUUACACCAAUAUUAUUACUAACAAUAUAUGAGAACCAAGAACCACUCACGUAUAAAACAAUAUCAUUGAUUGGUGGAAUAUAAAUUAAUGAGAACCAAGAACCAUUCACAUAUAAAACAAUAUCAUUUAUUGUAUUGACAGCAAUUAGGUCAAACUCAGACUCAUAUCUUAUUGCUAAGAAUACAAAGUAUGUAUGUGAAUAAACCUAAACAAUAAGUGUAAACGAUCAUUACUAAUGAAUUAAGUAAUGAAACAAUAACCAUAUGGCUAAUAAAGAAAACACAUGAGUAUCAACCAUAACAAGAAUGAUUCGUAGGUUUUGAUUGUAGCUAUAGGUUCUAACUUUUAGUUCACAGUUUCAACAAUAAAAUUGUCAAGAUAGCUAUUAGUUAUAUAAUUACAUGUUGUAUGAAAAACAGUGGCAAUAUGCAACCGUAUGAAAGUAUAGGUUAAUAACAAUACAACAUGUUAAGCAUAGGUUUAUAGCAAUACUACGAAUGAACACUAACACGUUUAACAAUUACGUGAUGACAUGCGAAACAUAUAAUAAAAUCUAAAGCAAACACAAGCUAUUAUGAAAUCAAACACAUACGAAUAUAAAUAUAACAAAUUGCGCGUUAGCUUGUCGACAAGGUCUCAGUUUGAUCGAAUGAUUUUUUCCUUUCCACGAAACAAGGGCAAAUCAAUAUUGUCGACUGAAACUUUUAAACUCAAUCAAAAUCAACAUGUUGAUAACUAUAAAUCUCACUCUCACAAACCAUGAAUUGAUAAUAAGCAUGAUUUAGAGAAGGAUUGAACAUAGAUUAUAGCUAUUAACAUAAAAUAAAAAUCUGUACCUAUUAGCCCAAACUCACUAGAGUUUCAUGCUGAUAACAUGUUAUAAGUAAGAAGAGAAGAAUUGGUGUAUCUUAUUCUAUGAAUAAUGAAUCUUUUAUAUAGGAUUACAAUAGCUUGGGAACAAAGUCACUUGGAGAACAAGUAAAUCUUGGAUAACAAGCAUAUCUAAGACUUGCCAUAAUGUCAUCACCACAAUAUUCAUAACGAUAUUUACCAAAAAAAUAAAAGCCGGGUGAUCACCAAAUUUAUAUAUGUUAAUUUUCUUUUAAUUUUUAGAUCAUAUAUGCUAAGAAAAAGGAAAUUGACAACAAAAAUUGGUAAGAAAAAAAAAAGAAAAGGAACUUUUAAUUAAAAUUAAGGAAUAAGAAUAUUCUCAUAGUUAGUGUUAAAUUAAAUGUUAAUUCGAAUUAGUGAUUCAAGAGCAUAUAUUGUUUCACUAUAUAUAAAGAACCAAUAUUCUAAGAAUAAUACGUACCAGAAAGAUAAAUGGAUUCUCUAAAACAUCAUAUAGUUUUCUUCAUCACGAUGAUUAUGUUCAUGAAUGCAACCAUGUCCUGUGCGCAAAAGACAACAGUGGUGAUUCAUAAUGAUCUUGGAAGUGGAUUAUCGUUAGGCUACCACUGUCAGUCGGGGGACAAUGAUCUUGGAUACGGGGGUCUGGGAGUAGGUGGAUCAUGGUUCUUUCGCUUUAAACCUGAUAUUUUUGGUCGUACUUUAUUCUUUUGCAGAUUUAGUUGGGGAAACGAAUCACAUUAUUUCGAUAUAUAUAAGCAAAAAAGAGAUAAAGAAUUUGAGAAGUUUGGAUGCACACACUGUGAGUGGAAUAUACGUAAGAAUGGUCCUUGCAAGCUUAACAAAAUCAAUAACAUGUUUGAUGUCUGUCUUCCUUGGAAUUCUUGACUUUUUCAACAGUUUUAAUAUCUAUACGUAUUAUCUAAUAGCGUAUUAUACUCUUAUUAAAGUUGUGUUACGAAUAAUAAUAUGGAAGAGGAUUUUUUUGUCAAGUAAUGAAAUAAGUAUUGUUUGUGUACGUCAGCUACAAUGAGCUCUUGUUAAAAUUACGUUUAUUAACCACCAUAUUUGUGUAUGUUAUUUACAAAAAAUAAAUAAAAAUAUUUGUGUAAGUUACCAAUUCUCGACCAAAAAUGUGUUGUAAAAUCAUAUUUCAAUGUUCUAUAAUCGGAAAUUUAGAAUAUAAUGUAAUUUAGAACAUAAUGUAGUUUUUUUUAAACUAGGGGUGGGUAUAUUAACGAGAACCAAAGAAUUGAACCGAAACUGAACCAUACUUAAAAAAUAUGUUAAUGGUUCCAAGUUUUGAGAACAAAAAAAAUCAGAACCGAUCCGAAUAGAACUGAAAUAUUUCGGAUAACUGAAUGGAGCUAAAAAUAUAAAAAAAAAUACUAAAAAUAACUUAAACUAUCAAAAAUAUAGCAGAAAGAACGAAUAUGUCCUAAGAUAACCAUAAAACUCCAAAAUAUUUAAAACAAAUACCCGAAUGGUUACUUAAUUCAAUUAGAAAUGAUCUCGAAUUGAAACGAAAUAUUUUAAAACCGUAUGGUUUCAAUUUUCGAGAACCGAACUGAAUGCCUAUACCUAAUUUUAACAUUUUGAUAUUGUAUUGAUGGAGAUUGUUUGAAGUUCAUAGUGGUACCUACCUUAAUAGACCUUUUAUUUAUGCGGAUGCUCAAGCUACGUACGUUCCCUACAAGUUGGACUGGCUCCACAUCAUUGUAAUCCUUAUGGUUCUUGUAACGAAAAGCGGAGAAAAGGUUAUGUUUUGUCAGGAUUCUCGUUUGGGCUUCAUGGUAGUAUAUUGAAGUCAGUUGCAUCUUUUAUUGGGUUUUGGUGAGGAAUCUUAGUUAAGGAGAUAAGCUAUAACUUAACCUCUUUAUAAAAAAAAAUUAUAACUUAACCUUAAGCUUGUAUUAUAUAUCAAGUUGAUUCAUUUUAAAUUAAUUUUUUUGCUAGUUUAAUUUAUUUUAUAUGGACUUUGAAAAUUAGGUUGAUUUAUAUUCUUAUAGCUUUGAUUUGUUUUUUAAAUCAUAUUAUUUCUUUAAAAUAUUAGUUAAUUUCAUAUUAAUUUUCUAAAUAGUAUUAUAUCAAGUUGAUUUUUUUUGUCAUCAACUAAACAGACUCAUACUGAUUCGGAAAACCAAACAAGUGGCUCUGCAUCCAUGUGAACGACAAAUGACGGAUUUUUCCUAACAGUGUGCAAGACUGUCCGCUUCCUUGUUUUGCGUCCUUGGUACAUGAAUAAUCUCUUAGCGAAUAAAACUUUCUUUCAAGACCAUCAAGUUGAUAUUUUAUGAGUUACUUUUUUGGUUAGUUUACUUUAUUUUCUUUGAAUUUCUAUUUUAUUUUCAAAUAAAUAUUUACUGGAAGUGAUGACAUUUUAAAAAUAAUGAUUUGGUAUAUUUUGAUUGGUGGUUCUAAAUCCUACGUGUCAAUUUUCAAAAUAUUUCAAAUAAUUAUUUUAAUAAUAGACUAUAAACUAUUGAGGGUGUCGUAUGCAUAUGACUAAACCACCAAUCAUAAUAUGCCAAAUCAUUAUUUUCAAAAUGCCAAAACAUCAAAAAACUAUUUUCCCCAAAAUAAAGUAGGAAUUCAUUCAAAAUAAGGUAAGCUAACAAAAAAAAAAUCAUGAAACAGAAUCAACUUGAUACAGCUACUAUUUUUUUAAAAUCACCCCAUCAUUAACUAAUUGUUCUUAAGAAUAUAAUAUUUUUUAAAAAGUCAAAGUAAUAAGAAUUCAAAUCAUAUAUAAAUUCAAAGUCCGUAAUAAACUAACAGAUAAAUAAUAAUUUCAUAUUAAUAAAAAUUAACAUAUAAUAUUUCAAUAAAUUAAAUAAAAUUAAAAAUAUAUAUUUUUAAAAAUAAUACAAAAACUUUUUUCAAUUUAAAAGCUAUAAGAACUUAAAUCACAUAUGAUUUUAAAAGUUGAACUACAACAUAUUGAAUUCCUCAUAUAAAAUUUUAAAAUAUCAAUAAAAUAUACAAAAUAGAAAAUUUUGUUUAUUAUUUAAAACAUUAAAGUUUCCAAAACUAUUUAUUACAGAAUAAAAUAAGAAAUAGGAAUUAACUUGAUACGUAUAAUAAUUUUGGCAAAUUAAGAUUAAAGAGAUUAAGAGGUUGAUUGUUUACAGAUUUUGAAGUAGUUUUUGGCUUUUGUUUUUGGAAAACCCACUUUUCUUCCAAUCAAGUUUUAGUUUUUAGUUUUUAUUUUUUGUAAAAAUCAUUUGAUUUGCCAAUCAAGAUUUUUAACAAGUAGAUUCCCUAAAUUUUAGGGAAACUAGUUUUUCAAAAUUUCAAUAUAUUUAUGAAGAAAAACCAAAAACUAACUUUUGUGGGUUUUUUGAUAAAAAACGAAUUUUAUUUCUUUUAUGUAUUUAUAAUUAAAUAAAUAAUAUUCCAUAAAGAGAAAUUUUCCAAACAAGUUUUUAAGAUAUCAUUUAAACAAUAAUGUAAAAUAAUUUAUUUGUGUCUCAUAUCUGCAAAUAAAUUUUGAUAUUUAUAUAUAAUAUUAAUUAAUUUUAAAUCAUUAGUUAUUAAUUGCUAUAAAUAAAAUUAUUGAAUAACUGUAAGAAUUAUUAGACACACUAAAAUAAAUAAUAUUUUAUAAUUUUAAAUUUUGUUUUCUUAUUUUAAAAUGAUGUAUUGAUUAUAUAAUAAAAUUUUCUAAGUAGUUUCAAACUUUUAAAUAUUUUUAUUUUUGUGUAAUUUUAUAUAUAUUUUAUUUAUAUUUUACUAUAAUAUAUUUUUUUAUAAAAAUAUAAUAAUUAAAAUAUUUUAUUGUAUUUUAUUUUAAAAUAAUAAUCACAAUAUUUUGAUAAAUUUUAAUUGUAAAAUCUCAAUAUUUAUUGCUAUUUUAUUAUAUAUUUCACAGUAAUGUAUUAAUUAAUUUUUUAAAAAAAUAGAGAAAAACCAAAAACCAAAAUCAAAAUAUAAAAACCAAAAAACAAAAGCUGAAAACCAAAAAUCAAAAUCUAAAAACCAAAAACUAAAAUCUAAAAACUAAAAACUAAAGCUUAAAACUACCGAAACAAACAUUAUUAAUAUAAAAUUUUAACUUAAUAAAAGAAGAAACAAUUACCCUGAAGUUUUAUAUAUUUUGUUUUAUUUUUAAAUCAUUGCAUAUGCUAAUAAAUAAUAGGGCACAAAGUUUCUAAAAAAAUUGAAAUAUUAGUUAAUUUCAAUUUGUUUCUUUCUACUUAGCAAUUUCAUUCUUUGGUUUUCAACAGUUUACAAAAAAAAAAAAAAAAAAUUAAAAGAGCUAUUGGUAAGAGUAAGCCAUCAUUCAUUUCUGAAUUUCAAAAUUCUUCUUAAUCAAACAAAGAAAUUAACGAAUUUAUUUACUAAUCAAAAUUAAAAUUUUAAUCAACACUAUUAUUUUACAUUUUUGACACAUUUUAGUCAGUUAUAAACAAAAACUCAUAUAAUUUAAUAAAAUAGGCUAUAUUGAAAAAAAUCUAACAUGUUCUAAUCUUCAAAACGUUAUUAUUAUCGUUGUUAAAACAAGCUACAUGAUGAAUUCUCAUAAAUAAUUAGUCUCAUUCACCUUAAAUAACAUAUAAAAAUUAAAUGCUCAUAAAUGAUUUUUGUCAAAAAAGAUAUUUAAAGAAUAAUAUAUAUAAAAUAGAUGAAAAAUAAAGAGUACAAAAAAAUCUUGUCAAAUCAGUUAGUUACAAUUUCCACAGAAACUUGUAAGAAGACCAACAAUGAAUUAGCAUGAAAGACAAGUCAAAAAUGAUAGAACGAACAAUUAAUAUGAAUUUAUUAAUACAAUAAUAUAAUAUCUAAGGAUCUUAACAAACAAACUAAAACAAUAAAAAUUUACAAAUUUUUAACAUUUAGAAUAAAAAAAUUUCAAGAUUACAAUGAAUAAGGUAUUUGAGAGUUUUUUUCUCUUGUCGUUAGCAUUUAGCAACUAUGAAUGAUUAUUAAAUUAUGUAAUAGUUUUCACAGGAUCGUACAAAUUCUCAUGUAAAGCCAAAAACAAACAAAUAUUAUUUAUCAUACCAGAAUAAUACAUUUUCAUACAACAAACUAAAAUAUAUUCUAUUGCAGUGCAUUAUAAAAUCAUACAAGCUUCACUAACUAAAAAUCUAAUUAGAUCAAGUAGAAGAUAAAUAUAAUACUCCAGAUUCUCUAUAUUAUUCUCAGCAAAUGUUCAACUCGUUGUCGAUUUAAACAAGUUUUGAGAUGAUCUUGUUGUACACUCCGAGUCAGAGGCUGAGAUUGGAGAGUUUGACAAAGAUCCGGAUUCAUAGUAUGUUUUUCUUCAAAUUUGAGUAGAUUUACGUAUUUAGAAAAUUUGUAACAAUAUAUGUAACUUUAAUUAUUGAAGUUUUUUUUGUUAGUUGUUGGAGUUGUUUAAAAUUAAUAUAUUUUUGAUUGAAAAUUUUAUAUUCCUGCUAUUUUUAAAAAUAAUUUACACUGUAUUUUUAAUAAAAAAUGAUUGUUAAAAAAAUUCAGAGAUUGGUUUCAAAAAUUAUUUAAAUAAAGAAAAUUUAAAUGUUAUUCCUCGAAAUUCCGUCGAAACAUUCCGACAUAAUUCCGAGGAAAGCACCUAUAUAUUGGGAUUUUGGUUUGGGGUUUAACUUCCUUGGAAUUCCGUUGGAACAUCCUGACACAAUUCCUGGAAAUCAAUGUUUUUGAUAUGAAUUAUUCAAAAAAAAAAAAUCAUCAACAUAAAAAGACUCAUGGAGACUCUAUAAACCAAGCUGGUAGCUCUGCGUCCGUCCAUAUGAACGACAAUCGACAGUUGUUUCCUUGCACUUCGUGCGAGGCUGUCCACCUUGGUAUUUUGUGUUCUGGGUAUAUGGAUGAGCUCAGUGUGGUUGAAACUUCUUUUGAGGGUCUUGAUAUCUUCGAUAUAGCUUGCAAAAGCUGGUAUUCAUCAGUUUUGAAACCAUCUUCACCAAUUGAGAACAAUUUGUUGCAAAAGUUACAUGAAACUGCCGUAAAUUUCUCAUACAUUUCAUUGUCCAAAUGAAUGCCUCUAGUUCCGAAGGUAGAGGAGAAAGAUUGGCUCUGGUAUUCGUUGCUCACAUCAUCCCAUCAAAGCCUUCGAGCGUGUUAUACCAACCUUUUCCGGAACAACUUUCAUGUUCUUUCCAUGACCCAUCCCUAAAACACCAUCUUCCCGGUAUAUGAGGUAAAGUCGAAUCCACUACCUCUCUAGAUCUAUCGAUCCUACGAAUAAUUGAUUCUUUAACCUCGGCCCAAAGACUGAUUAUGUCUCCUCCAAGUUGAGAGUGUCCAUGGGAUCUAUAUCCAAAUUGCUAAAAACUUUGUUGUUUCGAGCUUUCCAAAUAUACCAUAAAAUUCAAGCAAAUUGAUGAUCUUCCAGAAGCGGAGAUACUCUACAAAAUAGAUGAUCCAUAUUUGUAAAGAGUGAAUGAGCCAGAAAAAUAUCUAGAUUCGAAGGGGUCUUUGAAAGUAUCCAAACUUGUACCGCCCAGGGGGGCAUUCAAAGAACAAGUGAUUUAUUGUUUCCUCAAAUACUCCACAUAUUGCACACUGUGAUCCCUUUGAAUCCUUCUCACUUGCAAACUUUUUAUAUGAAACAUUCAAUAAAAAUAUAAAAUCGAAUACCGACACGUCAUAAAAAUACAUAUUAAGUGUCUAAUACGAUGUGAGUUAACAAUCGUUCAAAGUUUUCAACUUAUAAAAUCCUCUAUGAAUAUAUCAACGAGUACAUAAUAUCUCUCAUAAACACUUAUACAAUUAAACAAACAUAUUUUGAUAAUCCAACUUACAAUAUUGAUUUUGUUCUCUUAUAAACACUUAUAUAUUUAAAACAUGCAGAUAAUUCCUUCUAAAUCAUCAAUAUUUUAUAAAAAUGUACUGUGGGUCAAUUAUCUCAUGUUCUGAAACCAGAAAUCUCAUUUCGUCGGAUUUUUUUUCCAAUGAGCUGGUUCCGAUAGAGAAUUUCGUCAGAAAUGCGUUUCUUUGAUGGAUUUCGACAAAAUUCUUCGUCGGAAUUCGCCUUCUUUCUUGUAGUUUUUCUUGAUUUGGUCAUUUUUUUAUCGUAAGUUGUUGCCUAUUUAAAGGCUUCGUCAUCUCUUAUAACAAGUUCACAGAAUCGAUACAAGUUUUGUUCAUUUGAAUUCAUUGUCUCCCUCUCUUUCUUGUGUCUAAACAAUAUUGACAAUGUAAGAGUCUUGUGUAUCACGAUUUAAAGGAUGCCUUAAUGUAGCUUAAUACUUAUUAAACACUCACUGAACUUUUACUUAUCUUCUUCUCUUACUCUAGUUUACCGAUUCUUUUUUUUUGGGUCAAAACUCUAGUUUACUGAUUCUAAAUCUCGUUCUUCUUAAAAACACAAAUUCAAAGUAUUUUGUCACUUCACAAAGAUUAGUUUUAUACUAGAGUUUCUUUGACUCAGAUAACCAGUCUAUUGUAUAGAAUCUUUGGUUAUAGUAUAGACUGUGUAAAAGGAUUCAACCACGAGUUGGUUCUCUUUCUUUAAUUGGCGGGUUCAUGUUAUGUGGUUGACAGCAAUUCAGUUACAAAUUGACUGAAUACCAUUUUUUUGACAUGCAACAAACACUCAUAAAUUUCAAUGUUUCUAAGUAUUUAAAGUAACCCAGGUCUCGGAGAGAGGAGAGUGUAAUUUUGUUAUUUUCUCACUUUUGUCUUUAAUAAGUCCAAAAUUACUCUUGUUUUCUUCCUUUCACCUGUCGAGAAAGAAACCUUAAUUUAUCGUAUUUCACCAUCGUUUUUCACGAUUCUUAGCAAAUUUUAGUGAUUUUAGUGAUUUAUAUGCUUUUUUUACCUAGUUAUGAAGGAUUCUCAAUUAAAGAUAUAACCAUAUAGAGAUCCGCACAUUGCGCGGGAUGAGUGUGUAUGGAAAAAAAAUUCUUAAAAUUUAAUUUACAUUUUAAUUCACUAUUUCUAUUAUUAAUCAUUAUAUAAAACGUAAACUAUGUAAAUUUUAAUCAUGUAGAUGUAUUACAUCUUGGGUUUGUAAUUAUAUAUGUUCAGUUAUAUAUGGACCAGGACAUAUGAAAGAUUAAAAGAUAGAAAUAAUCAUUGGGUCUUAGCUAUGUUAAAAACACAAACAAAUUUAGUGGCUAUAUUCUCUAAAACUCAUUUGUUGAGAAGAUGAGAAAUGUAUUGUUCUUUUCAAAUGUCAAGAACUUUAAGAAAAAAGAAUAAGAGUUUAUAUGACAAAUUCAAAUCUUUUCACUAUAAACCAGUUCAUCUGAGAUUCUUAUGCAACCAAUAUUUUCUUCUUUUCUAUUUUAUUUUUGCUUGCUUUUUAUUUCUCGUGUCUGUUGAUUUCGUAAUCUCCAAAAUAUUGUUUCUCAACAUCAAAUAAAUAGUUUUGCAACACGAUUUAUGUCCCAAAAAAUGGUGCAUCUCCUUUGUUCACUUCAGUGAUUCAUUUCUUAUACCAAGAUACGUUAAUUUUUCUUUUUUUAAUUCAUAUAUUAUUAUAAGUUAUAUAAAUUUAUACUGUAAUUUUCAUAAUAUUGAAUAAUAGCCCAUAAAAAUAAAGUUUAGAUAAAAUGUAGUCGUUGGAUUACAUGAUAUUUUAUGAUAUUUUCUUUUUUGAAAUGGAAGAAACGUAUAUAGAAUGAAUUCAACGAAAAUAGAGAUGAAAAAAAAAAUUAAAUAUAUUGUUUUUGAAGGAUAAAAUUUAUUUUUCAGGAAUUCCAAAAACCAAAAAUCCAAAUAGACCCGAGUCAAAUUUGAAUAGAUAGCCGAAUAAUUUACCUUUGCGAUGGAUCCAGAGCAUACAGAUCUAUUCCGGAGUGUUGGAGCAAAAAACCUGCAUAAACAAAAAAAAGGAAGGAUUGUUGAGAACAGAGAAGACGUAAAGGGACAACCAUUGAAGACAUCAUAAACUUGAAGUAUCUGAAACUGCAGAAGAUCUGAAUCUCUUACUACCACAGAAGGAUCUAAGGCGAAAUUCAAGUAUGAAAAAGAUCCCAAAUAGCCAUUUAAUUAUACGAAGCAAUGCAACAUUUCACUUCCCAGGCCCCCAUCCAAUAUCACAACUCCAUUUUGCAGUAACUACUCAGAAAAAAGUGCAAGCUCUUGAGAUAUUUCCAGGUCACCAAGAGAUGGUCUCUGUCCCGACAAAUCAACUUAUCAAAAGACUAAAAGAUAAAGAUCAAGAGAUGACCUGAGGUGCAGCCAAGUAACAAUGAGAUGUAUAUUAACGAACAUUCGGAAGUCUAAAUCUUCUGAACUUUCACCAUAACUGACAUCUACCAUUUAUAAUGUCAUAACCCCGAGAUAGCGAGAGAGAGCUAAACCUAUAAUCUGGAUGCAGGAAGAAGAUGCGACAUAACAUCUAGGAGACUAGUAUGAAUGGAAAAGAGUUUCAUAAAUCCACUGACGUCAUAUCAAAGGUCAAGUAGAGUAGCAGAUUUCCCAACUUAUUAAUCUGACAAUGCACACAGACAUCAAGCAGCAGAAAUUCAUGCCCAACCUAGCCACAUCCUAACAACGUCAAAGGCCAAACCAGUCAUCCCAAAGAGUUGAAGCCCGACCUUAAGGGUCUUCAAUUGUUCUCCUUUAACUCAAUUCCUCAACCCAAAGAAAAUGUACACCGACUCCUCCAAGUAUCAUCAUAAAUUCAGCUACAUAAAUUUGGAUUAUUAUAGUUCCUUUUUAAUGUUUUAGAAAUAUAGUUCCUUUUGAAAUUAGACACACACAAAAAUAUAUAUUGUCUUGUACUCAUAUCAAUAUAGGAGUGUGCACUGCACUCACCCAAAUGUAUGUCCUAAAGCUUUAUAAAAUAUAAUUCAUCACACAGAGCAUAACCAUAGUUCUCUCCCACACACACACAAAACAUAACCUUACCUCUCUUUUUUUAUCCCUCAAAACACAUACACACAAAAUUUGAAGCUUAAAUAGUCUUGCUCGAUGGCCGGUGGAGAGUUGAGAAAUGGAAUUAGAAAAGCUUGCGCCCUUCUCAUAGUGAUUGACGGGAUAGAGGGAUGGAUAUGCAUUCAAAGGAGUUGCAUCAAACUUAUUGACUUACUUAACUGAUGUGGUGAAGAUGAGAAACUCAAGAGCAGCCACGACUGCUAACACUUGGAGUGGCUUCACUUUCAUGUUGCCUCUCUUCUCUGCUCAUUUCACCGAUUUACUGGGACAGAUUCUUCACCAUCCUAGCUUAUUCUUCUCUCUACUUUUUGGUCAGUAUCACUAUACCACCCUUCUGUUAGAAUCAACAUCAGAAAGAACAAUUCAAGACUUGUUUGUUUAAAAAUCAAAAACUCAGAUCCAUCUGGGAGAAUAGAGACUCUCCAAACAUUAUCAACUUGUUGAGAGAAAGCUAUAACCUUUGAUGCAAUAUCCUGGUAAAUUAGGUUUUAUAACUUUUCAGCAAAAAAUGAAACAUAUCAUGAAAGCUUUUGUAAUAGUGAUUCAACAUUAAUUACUUCUCCUAUGGAAACCACGAUCAUGUGUGGUGUGAAGCUCAUUCCAGAAGAUGAAGGCAUCAUCAACUCACCUAACCAAAACAAAAGCAAAAAUCUCAUUAAGUAUCCAUGUUCUUGAUCUAAUAAGCAACUUAAUACAUAGACAGAAAGUCUUACACUUUUCCCACGCAUCAAGGACACAUUAAAGAGUCCUGGUUCUUGAUUUCGGACAGAGUUUGUUUAACAGUGGAAGACAAUCUCUGUUUCUUGCCAGAGCCUGUAGGUUGACCACAGCCUCGUUUGCUAGAGGUGUUAAUGGUCAAAACAGAGGAAGACGGCAAUGCCAAAGAAACAGAACCGUCUUGUCCGUAUUUUCUAAGCCGUUGUCUCUUACGUUUCAUCAGAGUUUCACCAUGAGGAGGAGGAGGAGCAGCAGCAUCAGUCGUAUGAACACCAACAUGAUGAGGAGAAGCUCCAGUUGCUGCUUCAGAAGGAUCACCAUGUAAAGGAUGAGAUCCGAUCGACUCAUAGAACCUCUCGCCGGAGCUGGGCCACACGAAGACUCCGUAACUGCUAGACGAUUUCUCCGUCUCUAUCAUCCUUAUUUCUUGUUCGUCGUCAUCGAAAUGAUGCUUGAGAGCAAUAUUAAUUUUGAGCCUGCAAUUCUAAGAAAAGGCCUUAAGAGAGCUCACGGAGCCAUGGUGUUUGAAGGCGUAUCCAAGACAAUUACACAUUUCAAAAUGUUCUUAUUUCCUUGAUUAAACUCUUUUUUUUUUUUUUUUAUCUUUUUGAGUUGCAUUUAUAAAAUAUCCUAAAACGAAUAAAACUGUCUAAUUUAUUACUUGUCUUUUUAAUUACAUUAAUGAAACAUGCUUAAAUGAAUUUAAACUUCCUAUUUUAUUGUUUGUUUUUUCAGUUGCCUUAAUGAAAUAUCCUUAAAUAAAUUUAGACAUAAUGUCAUUUAAUCAACAAAAAAAACUCAUGAGUUAUCCUUACGUGCAUAAUUUUAAUAAAGGAGAUUUUUAAAAACAUGCAUCAUUAAACAAUCAAUUUAAAUUGUUAUUGUCAUUGAAUAUAAUUAUUUUUGACAUAAUUUGAGUUUUCGUUUACAUCAAAACUUAUCAUAUUUUAGGAUAAUUUUAAUUUAAAAUGUAAUUUUCAUAUUUUUCAAACAAAUUCUAAAAAUAUUUUUUUAAAUAUUUUGUUAUAAUUGUUAAAAAAAUAUUGAGUUGCAUUUCAAAUAAAAAGGUAAAGAUAUUAAAAAUAUUCUAAUUAAAAUAUGUAAAAUUUAAUAUAGUUUUAAGAAAAUGGUCAAAAUAAAAAAAAUUACGCAUAAAAUAAUCAUGAUUUUUGUUAACUGAGCGGAUCAUUAUUUAUAUGAUAUCGCACACGAAAUUUUUUUUUUCUGUUUUUAAAAUUAUCUAAUUAACUCUAUACUCAUUUUUUUAUAUUUUUUAUAUGAUAUCACACAUUCGUAAAAAAUAGAUAAUUUAAGAUGCAAAAAAAAAUAUUUACUUAAUGAAUAUAAUAUGAACGAAUAUUACAAAUACUUCAUUUAAUAAAAUAAAUAAUUAAAAACUGAAAAUUCAUAUCCGCACUAGCGCGCAGGUCAGGGUCUAGUUUAUGUUAACAGAAACUCCUUCCACGAGUUUCUUAAAAAGAAAUAUAUCUAUAUUAUUAAAAGAGAAGUACCUAUUUAAAAAUGUUCUUACUUCAUUAGUUAAACUCCUUUUUUUGCUUGUUUUUUUUCAGUUGCAUUUAUGAAAUAUCCUAAAACGAAUAAAACUGCCUAAUUUAUUACUUGUCUUUUCAGUUACAUUAAUGAAAUAUGCUUAAAUGAAUUUAAACUUCCUAUUUUAUUGUUUGUCUUUUUCAGUUACCUUAAUGAAAUAUCCUUAAAUAAAUUUGGACAUAAUGUCAUUUAAUCAACCAAAAAAACUCAUGAGUUAUCCUUACGUGCAUAAUUUUAAUAAUGGAAAUUUUUAAAAACGUGCAUCAUUAAAAUGUUACCUAAAACAUGCAGCACUAAUAUAUAACAUGCAUCAAUAAAACUAGAAUUUGACUCACACAAUUGUACGGAUAUUAUUUUCAGUUGAUUAAAUUUAAAAAUAAUUAUUUAUUCAAAAAAUAUUUAAGAAUGGCUAUGUUUUUAAAAAUUAUAUGGUAUUAUUUGCUCAUAACUCAUUUGUCAUUUGAUAAAUUGUUAGAAAGAAAAUUUUAGCAUAAUAUAACUCAGUUGUCAUUUGCUAAAUUUAUGGUUUUUAUUUAUAUUUUUUAUUAUUUAAUUAUAAUAUUUUCAUUUUAUAUUUGAAAGAUAAAUGAAUUUUCUUCCAAACAAUAUUUUUGUAAAUGUAUUUUUUUAAAAAAUAAUCAAUUAAAAUUGUUAUUAUCAUUGAAUAUCAUUAUUUUUGACAUAAUUUGAGUUUUCGUUUACAUCAAAACUUAUCAUAUUUUAGGAUAAUUUUAAUUUAAAAUGUAAUUUUCAUAUUUUUCAAACAAAUUCUAAAAAUAUUUUUUAAAUAUUUUGUUAUAAUUGUUAAAAAAUAUUGAGUUGCAUUUCAAAUAAAAAGGUAAAGAUAUUAAAAAUAUUCUAAUUAAAAUAUGUAAAAUUUAAUAUAGUUUUAAGAAAAUGGUCAAAAUAAAAAAAAUUACACAUAAAAUAAUCAUGAUUUUUGUUAACUGGACGGAUCAUUAUUUAUAUGAUAUCGCACACGAAAGAAAAAUUUAUGUUUUUAAAAUUAUCUAAUUAACUCUAUAAUUUUUUUAUAUAUAUUUUUUAUAUGAUAUCACACGUUCGUAAAAAAAUAGAUAGUUUAAGAUGCAAAAAAAAAAUAUUUACUUAAUGAAUAUAAUAUGAACGAAUAUUACAAAUACAUCAUUUAAUAAAAUAAAUAAUUAAAAACUGAAAAUUGAUAUCCGCGCGCCAGCGCGGAUCAAAGUCUAGUGUGUAUUAUUUUUGUUAGCAAUCUAUAUUAGAUGAAUACCAUUAGCAUAUGUUGUAAUUCUUAGCAAUCUAAAAGGUUAGUAAAAUUAGAAGCUGCUGAAAAGAGUCGUGGUGAUGCAACGUAAACAAAAAUGGCAAACUUGUGAAUAAACUAUUAAACCAAUGUUAGUCUCGUAAAAUGUUCUAAUAAGCCUAGGAUAUAAUAAUUGUAAGACUUUUUUGCUUCAGCACCGACUUUUUGAGUGGUUUGCCUUUUUGCUGAAGCAUUGAGUUUUUGACCGGUUUGAAAACGCCGAUUAAACAUCCACCGCAUACCCGCUUUAAAACAGGGAUUUUUAUAUAUAGAUAAGUGUGCACUUGUUCAAAAAAAAAUAAUAAUAAGCGUGCUGGAACAUUAAGCCCAAAAAGAUAUGAACCGCACUGGUUGGAAACAUUUAUAUAUGUCAAAAAAAAAAUAUUAACAAUAAAGACACCCAAUUUGUCACCGUUACGACAAAAUAAAGUUUGACCAAUUUUAAAAAAAAAUGUUUUUGACCUCGCAGUCUUGUGUAGUACACAAAUGUUACAAAGCUCCUGCAGGCUUCUCAUCACACACAUACUAUUAAACCCAUUUUGGUUCUCAUAAAAAUAUUCCCUCUGAUGACUCCUACCCAAACCUCACCCCCCAAACAAGCUUAUCUUACGACUCAAACCCCACCCGACUUUAACACAGAAGAGAAGACUCAAACUCAGACCAAUUUAACCAGUGCCCCCACCACAGACUCUUAAACCUCCUUUCACUCUUCAAUUCAAUCAGCUCCUGUUGAAACAAAACCAAACUCAAAGAAUUACACAAAAUACAUAUUUACUAUUAACUUCCCAGUCUAAGACAUUUGGACAGGAUUAACUAGUCCUAAAGUAUUGAGUAUUUAUUUAUUACCUUCACUGGAAGUUGAAUCCACCUGGCGGUGCGGCUGCAUCAUUACCGCCAAACUGGAAUCCCUGAGCAGAGACGUCACCUGGUGGUAGAGUCUCGUCUUCCUCUUCCAACCAGUAUGUUUCAAGAAUCUUCACUGCCUUCUCAUAGAUUUCGCUGUUGUCAUGACUCUGCAGAUUCUCAAUCUUUUCUAAUCCCUCUGCAUCAUCGAUCAACUGGGCAUAAAAGUUUACAUCCCCGGUAUUUCCCGUCAACUUCUCAGCUUCUCCGACCUUCAGAAUGUUCUCCAAUCCUUCUAGACACACGGUGAUAAUCCUCGGAUCGGGGCAUAUCAAAAGAUCACACAGUGGCUUCACGACUCCCUGAUCCACCAUGUACCUAAAGCACGGAACAGAGGGAAGUUUUAAGUGAUCGUUUGAAAAGAGAGAUCUAACAAAUAUUUCAAAGGAGGCUGAGAUCCAAAGAAGAGGGGGCUGAUAUCGAAUAAUCAUACUUGAUUUGGUCGGGAGAACCUCCCGAAGUCGCAUUGGAUACUGCCCAUGCAGCUUCUUUCUUUAUAUCGAACUCUGCAUUUUGAAGCAGGUUGACGAGAGGGAAUAUCAAACCAGCUUCACAUACCGCCUGCAUCACAGAACAUAAACACACAAAAUUUCCAUCAAACAACGAAAGCCUUCUGAAACUGAUAAGCUGAACAAAAUAAAUCUUGGGCGAAAGUUCACCUGAAUCUGGUCCUUGUUUCCAGCAGUGAUGUUUGAUAUUGUCCAGCAAGCUUCCUUUUUAAUGCUCUUCUUAUGGUUAUGAGUCAGAAGGCUCAACAAGCUAAGGAGUGCACCAUGACUAAUUACACACUGCAGGGAAAAAAAUUCAUCAGCUCAAAACCAACCAAAAAACAGUUAUGCAAUAAACGGUUAAAUUCUUGAGACCUACAGAGGAUUAUAGGCCUAAAAUGAUGAACACAUACAUCUAAAAGAGACAGAAUACCAGAAAUUAUGUGCAGUAUUAUUUGAGCUAUGUGAAAACAUGCAUGGUACUAGGUAGACAAAUUUUAGAAAGAAAUGAUCGACCUCUUUUUCCAGAGGUGCACAUAAUAUUCUCAAGUGAAUUAAUCUGAUGAGUAGAAAGUAACUUUUGAGAACCAAAAAUAAUUAUCAUAUAGUUCACAUUCAGCUGAUAAGCCAGUGAUGUCCCAUUCUUCCCAUUAAUGUUGUAGGACGAGUGGAACAUGUAUGCUGAGAGAAAUGACUGAAAGAAUAAGAAUACCUGUGUCUGUGCAUCAUCUCCAGUGACGAUGUUACCGAUAGUUCGAAGAGCAGGAAUAAGCACAGACGGUGAUGGAUGCCUACAGCAAGCCAAAAUUCAUCAUCACAUAAUCAUGUACAAAAACAAGGUGGAUUACAGGAUUGAAAAGACUCACUCGAGAAGCUCGACAAGUCGGGGAACAACACCUGCCUGAAUAACAGAUUGGAUUUUUUCAUUGAUGCCGUCAGAAAGAUAAGAGAGGGCCCAACAGGCAUCCGUUAACACUUCCUCAUCAGUCGAAUGAAUCAGGCGCUCAAGGGCUGGAAGAGCUGGACUAACCUGUUCUUACGAGAUCACAGAAGUGCCUUGAUCAAAUAAGGAAGAGAAGAAUAAGACAGAAAUGAGAGACAAACCUGCUCAAACGGAGGCUGUGGCUUGCCCCUGCAGAAAUUAGAGAGGGUCCAAGUAGCAUUUCUGAGCAUGGAGAGUUUAGCACGCUCAUUCAACUGAGAGAGCAAUGGUAACAAAGCUCCCUGACCAAGGACAAGAUCUCUGCACCGUGGAGAAUCACCCGCAACAUUCCCUAACGCCCAGACAGCCUAAGACGAAGAAAAUAUACUUUAACAACAUACUUGGUCUCGAAUAUUAAUGAAGAAACAUACUGUACCUGCUCACGGACAUCAUCACUCUGAGAAGCCAAGAGUUGCACAAAAAUGGGAACAGCACCGUGUUCAAUGACAACCUUCGUAUGUUCUGAAGUCCCAGAAGCAAUGUUCGUCAAUGCCCAAGCAGCCUCAAACUGAAGCCACACACAAAGCAUUAAGUUUCAGAUGAUAAUUGCAGCAAAUGUGAGAGAGAUAACACAAACCUGAAGCUGUGGAUAAUCGUCCCUGUUGAGAAACUCCACAAACCUUGGCACAACACCAGCAGCUAUCACCUCUUCGAUAGGAGGACUUCGCUCUACCAAAUCAAAACAAAAGGCAUCCAUUCAAUUUCAAGAACACGCCUAGUAAAAUCCAAACUACACAGAUACCAGCAAAAUCACCUAUGGAAAGCAGUUUCCUGAACUGAGUAGUUGCUUCAAGCUGUAAGUUCCUAUCCUCUGACCACACUCCACCAACCAUAGACGGCAAGCUCUCCAACUUAAUCAACAAUCAAAAACGAUCUAAUCAGUUCUAAAACCCUAGAAAUCGAAUCGGUUCCAGAUCCAUAGUGAUUCUAUACCUUCUUCUCGACGGAUGUAGCGGAAGCAACGGAGGAAGGAGCGAAUUGAGGCUGCUGUGUGGAUUGAAGACCUUCGCGACGCUUCUUGAGCAAGCUCUCUUCGCGCUUCGUUUUACGGAUCUCGACCAUGUUGUCUUCUCUCCUCCUUCGUCCUUCCUCGGCGUCCACCGCCACUUUGUAGCGGUUACGGCGAACCUCAGUCCUCGCGUUGGGUCUCAGAGACAUGAUGGCUACUGCUCUUCUUGGUGAACGAAUGUGAGAGGAGAGGAGAGAGUGUUAGAAUAGAAUCGGCGGAUAUAUAGAGAGAGAGAGGGAAUCAACCCUAGGCGAAGCAGAGGGGAACGAGAAAAGAGGAAAAGUUACAGAGAUUGAAAUUUCGUUUGGUUUACAAAAUACAUUUUUUUAAUUUUAUUUGAUUUCGUUACAGAGACCCAGUUGACUUGUCGACACUAGUCUAUUUAUUUUACCAUAUCGUACAGCUAAUUUUGUUAUUUAAUACUCCCUCGGUUUUUACAAAUAUUUGUAAGUAGUUUUAGUUAAAAAUGUGAAUAUUAAAAAAAAAAUUAUUUUGAAGAAAUAGCAUUUAAUACAUAAAUUCAACCAAUAAUAAAAAAUUAUGAAUUAUUUGAUUGGUCACACAACAUAUAAUAAAUGUAAAAGGUGCUUUGGAUUAUGUAAAUAUCUUACAUUGUGAAACAAACAUUUUUUACUAAAACUACUUACAUAUCAAAACAGAAGGAGUAAAAAACUAGGUCAAACACCCGCGCCGGGUUAAGAUUUUAAUUUUAUAAACAUAAAAUAUUUUUUUACAUCAUCCAUACAAAUAUUCAAACAUAAUAAUGUUAUAUUUUACAUGUUUGUCAUCUAAUUGAUUGUUUCACCAUCACAUUUAUUUGUAGAUUCUUAUUAUAUAUUUAUCUCAUUGGAUUUGCGUUUAAUUAUAAGACGACUUAAUAUUUUUUUUUAAAUAUGCAAAGUUUAAAUGAUUGAUAUACUUUUGUAUUGAAAUCAUAUAUUAUUUAAAUAUCAUAUCUAAAAGUAUAAUUAACAAAAAGUAAUAAAAAUAAUUUAUUAAUUUAAUAAUUUAUUGUAUUUUAUGACAAUUUUACAAUAUUCAACUACAUCAUUUGAUGAAUAAAUAUUUUACUCUUUUAGAUUUUCUGAAAGUUGUAAAGGUAAAUCUAUAUUCAAUUAGUAUGGAUAAUUAAAUAUUUGGAGUUUUAAUUUAAUGGAAAAUCUAACUUGAUUUCGUGUAUCAAGAUUUUUUAAUUAAAUAUAUGGAAACAAAAUGAAGAUUUUAUGGUAUUUUAAGAUAGCGAUUUCUUUUAUAGGUUAAUCAAUAUUUUCUAUGGUAUAUCAUAUUUUUCACUUAGGGGUGGACGUUUGGAUAUUCAUUCGGAUUUGGUUCGGGUAUAUUCUAAUUUUGGGUUUCUCGGGGUUAAAACUUUUAGUCUUAUUCGAGUAUUUAUAAAUUUUCAUUCGGUUGGUUUAGAUAAACCCAUUUAAAUUAUUUUUAAAAAAUUAAAAUUCAUAUAUACUUUUAAUUUUAAAAAAAAAAAAAAUUAAAAUAAUAUAUUACAUAUAAAUUUUAAGAAACUAUACUAAAAUACCUAAAUUUAACUUAAAAUUGGUUUACCUUGAAUAUUUGGAUAGAAAAUCAAUAUAUAUUUCAAGUGUUUUUAGUGUUUUAAGUAUUGUUCGACUAUUUUAGAAAUUUAUUUUUGACUAUUUAUAUAUACUUUCAAAUAUUUUGAACAACUUUAAAAUAUGUUAUAUAUUUUAGAUAUUUCUUUUAUAUACUAAAUCUAAAAAUAAUUAAUAUAUUUAAGUAAAUAAAAUUAUUUUGGAUACCUAAAAUAUUUAUGUUCGGGUCGGGUUUGAUUUCAGUUUUCUAAAUACCAAAAUUUUGAACCGUUUGGAUAUUUUGCGGUUGGAUUUGGUACUAUUUUUUCAGAUCAGAAUCGGUUCGGUUUUUUGGAUUCGGGUAUUUAGCCCAGCCUUAGCUUCACUGGUAUUUUUUAUGUAAAUAGAUAAAAGAUGUUUGAAGUUGUUAUGGGAGAUCUAAAUUUAUUUAUUGUAUCUCAUUUUACCUUGGUAAGAUUUGGUUGAACAUGUUUUAAAUAGGAGAUAUGAAAGACUGAUAUUGCUUGAUACAUAUACCAAUUUUUUCUUGACUUGUUAACUGAAUGUGGGUGACUGUUUUGAUAUUUUAAUAUUCUAAAGGAAAUUUAUAUUAUAUAGUCUUUUAAUUUGUUUAUUCAUCUAAUCUGUUUGGUUUGAUUUUACAUUAUUCUCAUUUUGGAUGUAUACAAUAUAGUACAAAUAUGUAGAGCAUGUAAGUUUUCCGAGUACUUAAAAUAGUCAUGAUAUGAUACUGGGUAUAUAAUAUAAAUAAUUUUAUACAAAAAUAUGAGUAUGUUAAAUCAUUUACAAAGUUACCUUGAACCGAUUUGUUCAGUUAAUAAACAAAGGGUAAUAACUGGCAUGUUUUUUGGGCAGUUGCCAAAAAUUCCAUUUUCAAAGUAUCAUUUUUCAUAUUUACACUAACCACUUUUACCACCAUCUUUAAUGAAGGGUAAAAGAAAUUUAUAACCUUUUGAUUAACUUUGACAAAAAAAAACAUAAGGUUAACUAAUCUAAACUUAAAAAUCAACUCUAAACCCUAAAUCAUCAACUCUAAACACUAACUAUGAAACAUCAACUCUAAACCCUAAACCCCGAAACAUCAACUCUAAACCCUAAACCCUAAAACCUAAACAUUCAAAUCUAAACCCUAAAACACCAACUCUAAACCCUAAACAUAAACUCUAAACCCUAAAUCUAAACAUAAAACAUCAACUCUAAACCCUAAAUCAUCAACUCUAAACCCUAAACCAUGAAACAUCAACUCUAAACCCUAAACCCCGAAACACCAACUCUAAACCUUCAAAUCUAA